Long non-coding RNA from Stylophora pistillata, 1455 nucleotides. Lineage: Eukaryota; Metazoa; Cnidaria; Anthozoa; Scleractinia; Pocilloporidae. The record is from RefSeq and is a predicted model, not a curated record.
CAGCUGCCAAUUAAUCAACCUGCUUAAACAAAUAAAUGAACUACAACUACUACUAACAAAAACAAUCAAACAAACUCACAGUAGUUAACUGAAGUUAUUAAAUACCAAUUGUUUUUGUUCUGUUUGUUUUCCAUAAAUCUGGCUUGGUUUUGCAGGGGGUAAGUUCCACUUCUUACUUGUGAUUUCACAAAAUGUUACACUUAUGAUAAUGUAAUAAAUUAAGAGUUAAUUAUAAAUUAAUAGAUCUGUGCUGCCAGCAAAAUUUUUUUGAAACUGAAAAAAUUUCAAAUGCUCUUGGAAAAAUCAUAGCAAAGAUUCUUUAAGUAUAUCAUUUGUCACAAAGAUGCAAUCAACAAUUUGUAUUCUAUGGAGAAGGGAAUAUUUUCAAGUGACACUCAUUGUGCACAUUCUCUUAGCUUCUAUACAUUUUUUAACAGCUCUUUGUUAACUGUCUCUUUGUUAUCAAAUGGACUGAAAGUUACAAACACCAAUUUUAACCCUGAAUAUUGAAACAGUAACUUUUCCUUACACCAAGAGUGAUGAUUUACACAUAGAAGACAAAUUCUUCUAAACUUUUUUUUGACACUGAAAUAACUAGUUGAAGUUGUUAGGGGAACCCUUUCAUGUUAUGGAUUUCAUUUUCAAGUUGCCUGUUUAUAGAUGUUUGUCUGGAAAAAGUGUCACAGUAACUAAUGAGAAUGUUUGCAGUUGGGAAAAAAAUGCGAAUUUCUCAAAUUUACAGCUGUUAAAUUAUUUUCACAUUAUAAUAAUCUUAAAUUAACUUCUUCUUUUUCAUUUUAACAAAUGUUCCGUUACAACAAUGGACAAUUUGUGAACAGGGGAUGUGUCAAGCCUGUGGUAAACUUGAUAACCUAGAGGGAUGUGUGAGGGGCCAACAUGUAUCUGUUGAUUCAAGAGACAAGAACACUUCAACAACUAUCACUGCCUUUCUUACAUGAAUAGUCCUGGAAGAUUAAUUUUUUACUGCUAUAAAGUUUUCAGCUCUUGCAAUAUAAAGAAUAAUUUUAGUCAUACCUAAGCUUUAUUGCUGCCUUCUGAAUGUUUUCCAUUGAAUUAAUUUUCGACACUAUAUCUGCAGUCAAAUGUAGCUUUACUUUAUAAAGUGUGGUCUAAAUAUUUAUUCUGCUCAAGGUCUGAGGAUCUUACCAAAAAAAAUAACAUUUUAUAUUACCAGACAGCUAUGGUAAUAGGCAAGACAAAUAUCAUUGUUGUGAACAAACAACUAGACAUUAAAUUAUUAGUGGUAUUAUCUUUCACAUACAACUAUGUAAUGUCUGUUAAAUUGGUAUUUACAUCCAUGUGUAUGAAUCAAGCUAAUGUUUCAGAAGUAUAAGGUAUUUUAAAAAUUUGUGUUAAAACAUGUAGUACAUUUAAUGUAAGUUUUCUCUCUAUCAACAUUAUUACUAGUUUAAAAUAAAGGUUAUUUUCUUUAAA